This 112-nucleotide ribosomal RNA is filed under the name Oceanicella actignis. Its description in RNAcentral is "partial 16S ribosomal RNA". It matches the Rfam family "Bacterial small subunit ribosomal RNA", at positions 19 to 142 of the family's 1533-position model. Lineage: Bacteria; Pseudomonadati; Pseudomonadota; Alphaproteobacteria; Rhodobacterales; Paracoccaceae. The record is from RNAcentral.
CUGGCUCAGAACGAACGCUGGCGGCAGGCCUAACACAUGCAAGUCGAGCGGGCCCUUCGGGGUCAGCGGCGGACGGGUGAGUAACGCGUGGGAACGUGCCUUUCGGUUCGGA